GACGAACGCUGGCGGCGUGCUUAACACAUGCAAGUCGAACGGAAAGGCCCUGCUUUUGUGGGGUGCUCGAGUGGCGAACGGGUGAGUAACACGUGAGUAACCUGCCCUUGACUUUGGGAUAACUUCAGGAAACUGGGGCUAAUACCGGAUAGGAGCUCCUGCUGCAUGGUGGGGGUUGGAAAGUGUCGGCGGUUGGGGAUGGACUCGCGGCUUAUCAGCUUGUUGGUGGGGUAGUGGCUUACCAAGGCUUUGACGGGUAGCCGGCCUGAGAGGGUGACCGGCCACAUUGGGACUGAGAUACGGAGCAGACUCCUACGGGAGGCAGCAGUGGGGAAUAUUGCACAAUGGGCGGAAGCCUGAUGCAGCAACGCCGCGUGCGGGAUGACGGCCUUCGGGUUGUAAACCGCUUUCGCCUGUGACGAAGCGUGAGUGACGGUAAUGGGUAAAGAAGCCCCGGCUAACUACGUG
RNAcentral lists this ribosomal RNA (468 nucleotides) under uncultured bacterium. RNAcentral describes it as "partial 16S ribosomal RNA". It matches the Rfam family "Bacterial small subunit ribosomal RNA", at positions 28 to 507 of the family's 1533-position model. The record is from RNAcentral.